GAAGGUGGCAAGCGUUGUUCGGAUUUACUGGGCGUAAAGGGAGCGUAGGUGGUUAGGUAAGCCCUCCGGGAAAUCUUCAGGCUUAACCUGAAAAGGUCGGGGGGGACUGCCUAGCUAGAGGGCGGGAGAGGAGCGCGGAAUUCCCGGUGUAGCGGUGAAAUGCGUAGAGAUCGGGAGGAAGGCCGGUGGCGAAGGCGGCGCUCUGGAACGUUUCUGACACUGAGGCUCGAAAGCGUGGGGAGCAAACAGGAUUAGAUACCCUGGUAGUCCACGCCCUAAACGAUGGACACUAAGUGCCGGCGGGUUACCGUCGGUGCCGCAGCUAACGCAUUAAGUGUCCCGCCUGGGGAGUACGGCCGCAAGGUUG
Molecule: ribosomal RNA, 367 nt
Filed under: uncultured bacterium
Lineage: Bacteria
Description: bacterial SSU rRNA
Rfam family: Bacterial small subunit ribosomal RNA
Source: RNAcentral